Molecule: ribosomal RNA, 248 nt
Filed under: uncultured bacterium
Lineage: Bacteria
Description: partial 16S ribosomal RNA
Rfam family: Bacterial small subunit ribosomal RNA
Source: RNAcentral
UACAUGAGUGGCAAGCGUUAUCCGUAAUUAUUAGGCGUAAAGGAUGCGUAGAUUGUAAAAGUAGUUGUAGUUUACCAUAACGGAUAACCGGGUUAAUUUACAAUACCUUUUUACUAGAGUUUUUUUGAAGCAUACGACAUCUACAAAUUAGUGAUAAAAUACUUCGAGUUUGUAGGUAUCCUCAAAGGUGCAAACAGUAUGCUUUUUUAAACUGACAUUGAAGCAUGAAAGCGUGGGGAUCAAACAGG